UGGUGGAGUGAUUUGUCUGGUUAAUUCCGAUAACGAACGAGACCUCAACCUACUAACUAGUGAGGUGUAAUCUUUUUGGUUACAUUUAAUAACACUUCUUAGAGGGACUUUUCGCGUAUAGCGAAAGGAAGUUUGAGGCAAUAACA
RNAcentral lists this ribosomal RNA (146 nucleotides) under uncultured eukaryote. RNAcentral describes it as "partial 18S ribosomal RNA". It matches the Rfam family "Eukaryotic small subunit ribosomal RNA", at positions 1299 to 1458 of the family's 1831-position model. The record is from RNAcentral.